RNAcentral lists this ribosomal RNA (258 nucleotides) under uncultured bacterium. RNAcentral's name for it is "partial 16S ribosomal RNA". It matches the Rfam family "Bacterial small subunit ribosomal RNA", at positions 524 to 778 of the family's 1533-position model. The record is from RNAcentral.
UACGUAGGGUGCAAGCGUUAAUCGGAAUUACUGGGCGUAAAGCGUGCGCAGGCGGUUUUGUAAGUUUUGUCGUGAAAUCCCCGGGCUCAACCUGGGAAUGGCGAUGAAGACUGCAAGGCUAGAAUCUGGCAGAGGGGGGUAGAAUUCCACGUGUAGCAGUGAAAUGCGUAGAGAUGUGGAGGAACACCGAUGGCGAAGGCAGCCCCCUGGGUCAAGAUUGACGCUCCAUGCACGAAAGGCGUGGGGAGCAAACAGGAU